CCUACGGGAGGCAGCAGUGGGGAAUAUUGGGCAAUGGGCGCAAGCCUGACCCAGCAACGCCGCGUGAAGGAAGAAGGCUUUCGGGUUGUAAACUUCUUUUGUCAGGGAAGAGUAGAAGACGGUACCUGACGAAUCAGCCACGGCUAACUACGUGCCAGCAGCCGCGGUAAUACGUAGGUGGCAACCGUUGUCCGGAUUUACUGGGUGUAAAGGGCGUGUAGCCGGGUUGACAAGUCAGAUGUGAAAUCCUGCGGCUUAACCGGAGAACUGCAUUUGAAACUGUUGAUCUUGAGUAUUGGAGAGGCAGACGGAAUUCCUAGUGUAGCGGUGAAAUGCGUAGAUAUUAGGAGGAACACCAGUGGCGAAGGCGGUCUGCUGGACAGCAACUGACGGUGAGGCGCGAAAGCGUGGGGAGCAAACAGGAUUAGAUACCCCAGUAGUC
RNAcentral lists this ribosomal RNA (442 nucleotides) under uncultured bacterium. RNAcentral describes it as "partial 16S ribosomal RNA". It matches the Rfam family "Bacterial small subunit ribosomal RNA", at positions 338 to 795 of the family's 1533-position model. The record is from RNAcentral.